This 993-nucleotide small RNA is filed under the name Pongo abelii (Sumatran orangutan). Its description in RNAcentral is "retained intron". Lineage: Eukaryota; Metazoa; Chordata; Mammalia; Primates; Hominidae. The record is from RNAcentral.
CCAAGCCAAACGCCGUGGCUUCUGUCCUGGAUGCCCAGUGUUUUGCGGCUUACGAUGCGCAUCGUUUUCCCGGCUCUGGCACCAGAUCCAUACUAUUCUGUAAACUGAGGCGGCGAUGCCCAAAAAUUAGAAGCAAUUGCUCUAAGAUAGCAAAAGAUUGAAGCAAGCCAUGAAACCCCUGCGCGGAGAGAGCCGAGCCCAAGGCCGCGGGGAGCCAGCACUUGUGCGCAGCUCCGCCCUCUUUUGGCGAAGCACCUAGGCCUGGCCCCUCCCGCGACCUGUAGCGCGGCGGAGCAAGCGCAGGAGGCUGGGAGGGCUGCGCGGGCUGCGCGUCGCCAUGGAGCCCGACGGGACCUACGAGCCGGGCUUCGUGGGUAUUCGCUUCUGCCAAGAAUGUAACAACAUGCUGUACCCCAAAGAAGACAAGGAGAACCGCAUUCUGCUCUACGCGGUGAGCGCCGGGGUCUUCCCCGGCAGGUCUACCUGUUCCCGGCGUGGCCCCGCCCUGCCCCCUGCCUCUGUGACUGGACUCCCUGUUCGCCCCCCGCUGCACCUCAAGUGAUCCUGACUCUCAUGUCCUGCCCAUCCCCAAAGACAGUCCUGUCGUCAUAUCCUCCGGGAUCACCCUGCCCUCUCCUCCCAGUCUUAUCUGGAAUCCUUCCGUGACCCGCUUUCCCCCACACUCGCCUUCUCGCAGUGCCGGAACUGUGAUUACCAGCAGGAGGCCGACAACAGCUGCAUCUAUGUCAACAAGAUCACUCACGAAGUGGACGAACUGACCCAGAUUAUCGCCGACGUGUCCCAGGACCCCACGUUGCCGCGGACCGAGGACCACCCGUGCCAAAAGUGCGGCCACAAGGAGGCUGUGUUCUUCCAGUCACACAGUGCGCGGGCCGAGGACGCCAUGCGCCUGUACUACGUGUGCACGGCCCCACACUGCGGCCACCGCUGGACCGAGUGACCUCCCCUCUCCCCCGAGUGUAAUAAACACCA